Molecule: ribosomal RNA, 1369 nt
Filed under: Brenneria salicis
Lineage: Bacteria; Pseudomonadati; Pseudomonadota; Gammaproteobacteria; Enterobacterales; Pectobacteriaceae
Description: bacterial SSU rRNA
Rfam family: Bacterial small subunit ribosomal RNA
Source: RNAcentral
ACAGAGGAGCUUGCUCCUUGGGUGACGAGCGGCGGACGGGUGAGUAAAGUCUGGGGAUCUGCCUGAUGGAGGGGGAUAACUACUGGAAACGGUAGCUAAUACCGCAUGACGUCUUCGGACCAAAGUGGGGGACCUUCGGGCCUCACGCCAUGAGAUGAACCCAGAUGGGAUUAGCUGGUAGGUGAGGUAACGGCUCACCUAGGCGACGAUCCCUAGCUGGUCUGAGAGGAUGACCAGCCACACUGGAACUGAGACACGGUCCAGACUCCUACGGGAGGCAGCAGUGGGGAAUAUUGCACAAUGGGGGAAACCCUGAUGCAGCCAUGCCGCGUGUGUGAAGAAGGCCUUCGGGUUGUAAAGCACUUUCAGCGGGGAGGAAGGCAAUAAACUUAAUAAGUUUGUUGAUUGACGUUACCCGCAGAAGAAGCACCGGCUAACUCCGUGCCAGCAGCCGCGGUAAUACGGAGGGUGCAAGCGUUAAUCGGAAUGACUGGGCGUAAAGCGCACGCAGGCGGUCUGUUAAGUUGGAUGUGAAAUCCCCGGGCUCAACCCGGGAACAGCAUUCAAAACUGACAGGCUAGAGUCUCGUAGAGGGGGGUAGAAUUCCAGGUGUAGCGGUGAAAUGCGUAGAGAUCUGGAGGAAUACCGGUGGCGAAGGCGGCCCCCUGGACGAAGACUGACGCUCAGGUGCGAAAGCGUGGGGAGCAAACAGGAUUAGAUACCCUGGUAGUCCACGCCGUAAACGAUGUCGACUUGGAGGCUGUGGUCUUGAACCGUGGCUUCCGGAGCUAACGCGUUAAGUCGACCGCCUGGGGAGUACGGCCGCAAGGUUAAAACUCAAAUGAAUUGACGGGGGCCCGCACAAGCGGUGGAGCAUGUGGUUUAAUUCGAUGCAACGCGAAGAACCUUACCUACUCUUGACAUCCAGAGAAGACUGUAGAGAUACGGUUGUGCCUUCGGGAGCUCUGAGACAGGUGCUGCAUGGCUGUCGUCAGCUCGUGUUGUGAAAUGUUGGGUUAAGUCCCGCAACGAGCGCAACCCUUAUCCUUUGUUGCCAGCGAUACGGUCGGGAACUCAAAGGAGACUGCCGGUGAUAAACCGGAGGAAGGUGGGGAUGACGUCAAGUCAUCAUGGCCCUUACGAGUAGGGCUACACACGUGCUACAAUGGCGCAUACAAAGAGAAGCGAGCCUGCGAGGGUGAGCGGACCUCAUAAAGUGCGUCGUAGUCCGGAUUGGAGUCUGCAACUCGACUCCAUGAAGUCGGAAUCGCUAGUAAUCGUAGAUCAGAAUGCUACGGUGAAUACGUUCCCGGGCCUUGUACACACCGCCCGUCACACCAUGGGAGUGGGUUGCAAAAGAAGUAGGUAG